UACGUAGGGGGCGAGCGUUGUCCGGAAUUACUGGGCGUAAAGGGCGCGUAGGCGGCCCCGUGCGCGUGCCGUGAAAGCCCGGGGCUCAACCCCGGGUCGGCGGUGCGAACGGCGGGGCUGGAGCACAUCAGAGGCAGGCGGAAUUCCGGGUGUAGCGGUGGAAUGCGUAGAGAUCCGGAAGAACACCGGUGGCGAAGGCGGCCUGCUGGGGUGUGGCUGACGCUGAGGCGCGACAGCGUGGGGAGCAAACAGG
RNAcentral lists this ribosomal RNA (253 nucleotides) under uncultured bacterium. RNAcentral describes it as "partial 16S ribosomal RNA". It matches the Rfam family "Bacterial small subunit ribosomal RNA", at positions 524 to 776 of the family's 1533-position model. The record is from RNAcentral.